This 301-nucleotide ribosomal RNA is filed under the name uncultured bacterium. RNAcentral describes it as "partial 16S ribosomal RNA". It matches the Rfam family "Bacterial small subunit ribosomal RNA", at positions 509 to 807 of the family's 1533-position model. The record is from RNAcentral.
CAGCCGCCACGGGAAUACGGAGGGAGCUAGCGUUGUUCGGAAUUACUGGGCGUAAAGCGCGCGUAGGCGGUUACUCAAGUCAGAGGUGAAAGCCCGGGGCUCAACCCCGGAACUGCCUUUGAAACUAGGUGACUAGAAUCUUGGAGAGGUCAGUGGAAUUCCGAGUGUAGCGGUGAAAUUCGUAGAGAUGUGGAGGAACACCAAUGGCGAAGGCGACUCUCUGGUCUGUAACUGACGCUGAGGAACGAAAGCAUGGGGAGCGAACAGGAUUAGAUACCCCUGUAGUCCCUGUCUCUUAUAC